Molecule: ribosomal RNA, 236 nt
Filed under: uncultured bacterium
Lineage: Bacteria
Description: partial 16S ribosomal RNA
Rfam family: Bacterial small subunit ribosomal RNA
Source: RNAcentral
CGGGACGGGUGAGUAACGCGUGGGUAACCUGCCUCAUACAGGGGGAUAACAGUUAGAAAUGACUGCUAAUACCGCAUAAGCGCACGAAGGCGCAUGCCUUUGUGUGAAAAACUCCGGUGGUAUGAGAUGGACCCGCGUUAGAUUAGCCAGUUGGCAGGGUAACGGCCUACCAAAGCGACGAUCUAUAGCCGGCCUGAGAGGGCGACCGGCCACAUUGGGACUGAGACACGGCCCAA